This 747-nucleotide long non-coding RNA is filed under the name Pan troglodytes (chimpanzee). RNAcentral describes it as "lincRNA". The record is from RNAcentral. Lineage: Eukaryota; Metazoa; Chordata; Mammalia; Primates; Hominidae.
AAACGGAGGCCUUCAGCCAACAGCUGGGAGAAGCUGAGUCCCGUCAGCAAUUCAAAAGACUGCAGCCCCAGCCAAGAGUUUGAUGUAACCUCAGGAGAGACCCUGAGCCAGAACCACCUAGAAAAGCUGGGAUACAUGAAGACUGCCAUCCCUUGAGUCACUUGCCCUGUAGCUGCCACUGUUGGAAAAGGGCUUGAUUCUGUGUCCUUGUGCCCACUUUGAAAAGCCCUGGGAAGUCCUUGGAGUCAGAUGAUCAGGCCUCCACCACUCUGCCAAAAAGUCUGUUCAGAAGUUUCACAUCAUUAGAGAAGAGAGAAGAAGGACAUUUGUACUGGGAGGAGUCGACUGGUCCCAAUCAGGAGAAAGUAGCUACAGAGUCAUGGGUGAGCUGGGUCCCCCAAAAAGGAACUUUAAGGGAAUGGACUGAAUCAAGUCAGAGAUGUCCCCAAAGCAAGACCAAAGAACUGAGCAAGAGAAGCAUUCAUCAGAAACCAAAAUUCAGCUACAAGUGAGCAUCCAGAUGGAGGUAUUAUGAAGAGGAACUGAGACUGAGGGCAAAAAGUGCCAGCCAGAAUCCUGGAUAGGAGAGCAAGAACCAGGACCUCAUUUAAGAGACAACCUGCUUAAGGCAGAAUAAGCACAAAUGGGCACUCAACAUCAAUGAAGUAACAGCAAAGUCACAUAAUAAAAGCAUGGAAUUAAGCCAAGCUGAAGAUUCGGAUGCAAUAAAACAACCACCCAUUAUUA